This 631-nucleotide ribosomal RNA is filed under the name uncultured bacterium. Its description in RNAcentral is "bacterial SSU rRNA". It matches the Rfam family "Bacterial small subunit ribosomal RNA", at positions 55 to 677 of the family's 1533-position model. The record is from RNAcentral.
AUGCAGUCGAGGGGCAGCAUCAUCAAAGCUUGCUUUGAUGGAUGGCGACCGGCGCACGGGUGAGUAACACGUAUCCAACCUGCCGACAACACUGGGAUAGCCUUUCGAAAGAAAGAUUAAUACCGGAUGGUAUAGUUUUCCCGCAUGGGAUGAUUAUUAAAGAAUUUCGGUUGUCGAUGGGGAUGCGUUCCAUUAGGCAGUUGGCGGGGUAACGGCCCACCAAACCUACGAUGGAUAGGGGUUCUGAGAGGAAGGUCCCCCACAUUGGAACUGAGACACGGUCCAAACUCCUACGGGAGGCAGCAGUGAGGAAUAUUGGUCAAUGGACGAGAGUCUGAACCAGCCAAGUAGCGUGAAGGAUGACUGCCCCAUGGGUUGUAAACUUCUUUUAUACGGGAAUAAAGUGAGCCACGUGUGGCUUUUUGUAUGUACCGUAUGAAUAAGGAUCGGCUAACUCCGUGCCAGCAGCCGCGGUAAUACGGAGGAUCCGAGCGUUAUCCGGAUUUAUUGGGUUUAAAGGGAGCGUAGGCGGGUUGUUAAGUCAGUUGUGAAAGUUUGCGGCUCAACCGUAAAAUUGCAGUUGAUACUGGCGACCUUGAGUGCAACAGAGGUAGGCGGAAUUCGUGGUGUA